This is a non-coding RNA of Lolium perenne, 2156 nucleotides long. The record is from RefSeq and is a predicted model, not a curated record. Lineage: Eukaryota; Viridiplantae; Streptophyta; Magnoliopsida; Poales; Poaceae.
CGCGCCUGAAUCGCACUGCCGCCAAUCACCUGUGCCGCUUGCCCUGCUGGCCACCACGGGCCAAGCUACUGUUUGUGUGAUGUGUCGUGCCAAGGGCCGGGUACAGGUUCGCACCCUCUAUCAUUGCGCUCACCUGCCGCUCAGCCUGUCAUGCCCGGCACAGCCGGUUGAUGAGCCACGUUGUUGACUUCUUCCGCUCUGUUGCUUCCUAUAAAGUAUGGUCUGCAAUUUAUGUUCUUGCGCGUCGAGUUCAGCCCCCAGGCUACAAUGGAACGUGGUCGUCGACAACGGCCUAGCAGAUGAUGUGCUUCUGGCUCUGGAUCGUCACUUGAGAAGGAUGAUAGACAACUUGAGUGAAAUUUGGAGCAUGGGUUAUAUCUUCACUUCAAAUUCCAUUGGUAAGGAUUUGUUUGCUCAUCGAUUGAUUGUUUUUGUGUUUUCUCCCCUAAUCCUUAUGUUGAGAUUUUGGAUAUGUUUCACUGCCUUUCAGAUUGUUACGAAUUCACUUGCAAUAAACCUGUACCUUCCAAACCAUUUCCAUCUAUAUUCUUGCCGUGUUGGGACUGUUGAUAGUAUAGAUUUGAAGAGUCACAGUAUGCCGGUAUAUGUGCAUGAAUAGUGCUUCAUGUACCUAUUUGAUGAUUCAGUUCUGUGGUAAUAAUUGAAAUGGUGAUCUUAUAGCCUUACAUCAAAUGCUAUUAGUCAAUGGUGGCUCUCUUUUGAAUCGCCUAAGAUGUUACUGUCUACAUGCCAUACUAUUUGAGCCCUGACUUCUGCUUCUUCAUAAACACGCAAUGCUUCUCAUGUUAAUGAAAGAUGAUAUCAAGGUGGAAGUCAUGUACAAAAAUAUUAUGUGGCGGAUAUGGCCUAAAUUUAUGUGAUAUCAUGACUGUUCUUUACCAAAUUUACUUAGUUGUUAACACUUUCAGCCUGGAUGGUCUUUUCUUCGUUACUUUUUCUCUCACAAAUUGCGGUUGAAGAUAUUUAUCUUACCAAUAAGCUAAAGUAGCAUGGACCUGGCACAGCCAUUUACUUAUGAUGCAGGUGUCUUUGUCAUAAGUAAAUGGUUUGGGACCAUGAUAAUCAUACCAUUAUCUUUGAAGCCUACACUGCAAUUCAGAUCAAAAUUUGGGUCAUCUUCGUUGGUUCCUAGACUGCUGCUCGAUGGAUGAAGUCUUAAUAAUAAUUAGACGAGUUCUUUCUUUGUUUUACGGGGCCCUCUUUUGUUCUGCGUGAGCUAGCAACUUCCGUGGUUCAUUUAGAAAUUUAGAGUUUGCCCAGAUGCCUAUAAAUCUUGCGAAAAGUUUAAUUGUUUAUAUGUAGUAAUGUCACAAUGUUCAUUGUGCAAUCCUCGGGAUGUAUCCUAAUAUCCUUUUUCUCUUGAUGUACAAUACCGAAAAAAUUGUGGUUGGAGGACCCUGAGGUGCCCUCACUUUGUUGUGGGCACUUCAAGAGUUCAAGAGACAUGCAAUCAUGAAUGGUAUGUAUGUCAAAUUAUCGCUUUCUCAUUUCUGCAACACUUCCAUUGUGACCGUUGUGCUCAGGUCUGAUCAUUUAUGUUUUGGAUUUUUUGGCAUUGGGGAUGUUCUAAUUUGCCCCUGCUAAAAGAAGAGAGAUUUGGUAUUCAUGUUUGAAAUUCACCAGUUCAAUUCUUUAUGUUUAUUUGUAGCAACAAAUACAACAUCAUUUUAAUAUUACUACAUGGAUGACAUAACUUUUUAUUUUGCCAGUACAUUUUUUCUUUACCAUAUGUGUGCGGAGAUACUCUUCUAUGAAAGUUUAUGCGGGAAGACUUUCUUGCCUUACAGAUGCUCCAAAGAGCAGAACCGGAAUUAUGCACUACCGUUGUUGAGAUUACAGUACCCACUAUCAUAUCAUUACCUCAUUUAAUCUAAUUCGUCUAGAUAGCGAUUUGUCUUGUUGACCUUUUAGUGUUCACCUAUGAGUUCUGAUUUUUGUAAUGUUAUAUAAUUUACUUUUGAAUAUUCAAAAUAUAUGUUUGCUCUGAAAUUGCAGUGAGCACAUUUUGUACUAAUCUAAUUCUUCUAGGUAGCAUCCAGUCCUGCUGAGCUUUUAGUGUUCACAUAUGGGUUCUGUUUUUUUGUAAUGUUAAAUAAUUUACUUUUGAAUAUUCUGAGUAUCGGUUUGCUCUUAAA